GCUCGGGAAAAAUGUGAAACAGUGAGAAACAGGGUCAAAUGGACUUUUCAUCAACGUGAAGUUCGUGCUAUAGUCUGUUUCCUAUUUGUAUUUCAUUUCUAUAUCUAAAUCUAGGGUGGGCUCGAAUGGCGACAAAGUAUGAAGAGAAUGCAACGUUUUUAUGAUAUCUACUGUUUUUAUCGGAAAAAGCAUGUAUUUAUCUUGAAUUUGAAGGUAAAUUUAGGGUUUUAACCAUAAUGACCGUGUCUCAGUUGCUGUUCUAGCAAAAAGCUAAUUUCGUGAAAAUUGGCCAAAAGGGUCCUUAAGCAAAU
RNAcentral lists this long non-coding RNA (311 nucleotides) under Mytilus galloprovincialis (Mediterranean mussel). Lineage: Eukaryota; Metazoa; Mollusca; Bivalvia; Mytilida; Mytilidae. The record is from RNAcentral.